AGGAAUUGGCGGGGGAGCACCACAAGGGGUGAAGCCUGCGGUUCAAUUGGAGUCAACGCCGGAAAUCUUAUCGGGGGCGACAGCAGAAUGAAGGUCAAGCUGAAGACUUUACCAGACAAGCUGAGAGGAGGUGCAUGGCUGUCGCCAGCUCGUGCCGUGAGGUGUCCUGUUAAGUCAGGUAACGAGCGAGAUCCCUGCCUCUAGUUGCUACCAUUGCUCUCAGGAGUAGUGGGGCUAAUUAGAGGGACUGCCGUCGCUGAGACGGAGGAAGGAGGGGGCUACGGCAGGUCAGUAUGCCCCGAAACCCUCGGGCCACACGCGGGCUGCAAUGGUAAGGACAAUAAGUUCCUAUUCCGAAAGGAGGAGGUAAUCUCCAAACCUUACCUCAGUUAUGAUUGAGGGCUGAAACUCGCCCUCAUGAAUAUGGAAUCCCUAGUAACCGCGUGUCAUUAUCGCGCGGUGAAUACGUCCCUGCUCCUUGCACACACCGCCCGUC
Molecule: ribosomal RNA, 496 nt
Filed under: uncultured crenarchaeote
Lineage: Archaea; Thermoproteati; Thermoproteota
Description: bacterial SSU rRNA
Rfam family: Archaeal small subunit ribosomal RNA
Source: RNAcentral